UACGUAGGCAGCGAGCGUUGUUCGGAGUUACUGGGCGUAAAGAGUGCGUAGGCGGUUUUCUAAGUUUGGUGUGAAAUCUCCCGGCUUAACUGGGAGGGUGCGCCGAAAACUGGAAGGCUUGAGUAUGGGAGAGGUAAGCGGAAUUCCUGGUGUAGCGGUGAAAUGCGUAGAUAUCAGGAGGAACACCUGCGGUGUAGACGGCUUACUGGACCAUAAUUGACGCUGAGGCACGAAAGCGUGGGUAGCAAACAGG
This 253-nucleotide ribosomal RNA is filed under the name uncultured bacterium. RNAcentral's name for it is "partial 16S ribosomal RNA". It matches the Rfam family "Bacterial small subunit ribosomal RNA", at positions 524 to 776 of the family's 1533-position model. The record is from RNAcentral.